Long non-coding RNA from Mercenaria mercenaria, 3712 nucleotides. RefSeq lists it as uncharacterized. Lineage: Eukaryota; Metazoa; Mollusca; Bivalvia; Venerida; Veneridae. The record is from RefSeq and is a predicted model, not a curated record. The transcript has 3 exons.
CUUUGUUCCUGGCUUAAUUUGUCAAAGACACCGAACGGUUGUUCGUCAUAAAAGCCACGUUAGUGCUUGUUAUGUCAAUAGCUGUCGUUAUAGCGCAACCGCCCUAUUAGUUAAAACCGCAUUUCCAUGGAUUAGGUGGUCCACUUGGCUACCAUGGAUUUCAUCGUUUUCAUAGAUACCAUGGCUUAGAUAGUGGUUUUCAUACAUUCUCUGGAUUCCGUCAACUUGGAGCAUUUGAAGCUAACAGACUUGGCUUUGGUAGAUUUGAUAGUUUUGUUGACGAUGGCGGUUUCCUUGGCUUUCACAUCAAUGAAGGUUUCUUUGGCGGCGAUGAUGAUGGCAUUUUUGGCGUUAACGGCGGCUUUGGUGGCGUUGAGAGCGGCUUUGUCAGCGAUGACGGUGGUUGGCUUUGGUGGUGAUAACUGAGAGUGUCGGACUGCACGGAAAAUCUCAUCUUCUCAUCUUUCAGGCGUUUACUCAUUUCUUCGUGCGUCCUAUUAUUUGGACAUUUUAUUCAUCCAGAAACAUUACUUCUUUUUGUUACUUUACCGUAGUUAUUUAUUAUCAUAUGGCUUAAGAACUGAAUCGAUCGGCUUUUUAUAGUCUGUAAAGGUAUAAAUUAUUGUUUCUUUAAUCCCUAAUGAAUUUUGAAAAUAUGCAUACAAGAGAAAAAUUUUCGAAGUGUGUUAAGAUGUUGUGUUUUUUUUUUUUCAGAUAUUAAUUCAUUGUUUAAAACAAUGUGAAAUAGGCAUGUUCUCAUAAUGUCAAACUAAAGCAUUCGAAUAAGUAUCAAGAAUCAAAACUUAUAAGCAACUAUAGGGAACCAAGCAUUGGACAUUACAGGUUAAGGCAACAUACCUUUUAAAAUUACACGAAAGGAUGAGUGCAUUUGUUCCAGAGGAAGUUGAAAUGAAAUAGUCAUAUGAAAGUGCAUACUUUCCGGAUAGUCUGAGUAUGUCAAUCGAUCAAUGCGAAACCAAUUAUUCUACACGAAAAACAAAAAAGGAAAUUUUAAAACUAGAAAACACCAGGUCACAUGGAUAUUCCAACAAACUUGACAGUGCCUAAUUUGUUUUAUAUAAUGUGUACAGUGAUUGUUUUCCUUGUAUAAAAGUACUUCAAACAUGGUCCUAAGGAAUUAUCUCCCCUAUACGUAAAUCUUCAACAUCAAAUCCAAGAGACCCUGUGACAUGCAGAUUCAAUUUUGGCGGUAUUAAUAAUCGGAUUUAAAAAUGAACAAAAUAUUUUUGUGAAGGGUAGGGGUACGCUUGAUCGUGUAAAAGGUCUUAUGUAAUAACAUAUCAACAAUUGCUGCUUUCAUUGAUUUCAAACAAUUCCUUUGAUUUUAUCAACCAUUAGGACGUUAUUGUAAAAUAGCGUUGGUGAACUGCUAAGAGCAAUGUUCUCGAUAUAUAGAGACAUUACAUGUUGUGUCAGCCUAAUAUGUUUUUAGACAAACCAACAACAUUCAGUCAGAAUAUUUAUAUGCGCAACAGUAUACCAGGGCUGUUGAAAAGUUUUUCUUAAAAAAAAAACAGAAAUUGUGGAUUAUCUGCACCUCAGAGGCUAGGUUAGAAAAAAAUGUGCGGAACUUUUUUCUUGUUAUGCAUAUAAGGUAAAAAUAGAUUCGCACUCAGCCGAAGAUCUGCCAUUAUUUUGCAAAAUUUCGCUGAUAAGUAUUUAAAACUGGUUGAUAUGUGAAUUCAGUAUAGAAAAGAAAACUUGUUAAAACUGCCUUUUAUCUCUUAAAGAUGAAGACACAUGUAUUUGAGUGCCGAUUGCAUUACUGUAUGCCUCAGUACAAAAAUCUGUAAUCUAGAUUGAUGAAAAUUAUCUGAUUUAUAAAGAACAUAGAAAGAAAUAGUCUUCUUAAAUUAUAAUAAAGUUUAUUGCCGUGCUAAAAUUAGCCCCUAGAAUUCGAGGUUAGGAAGUGUUUUACUUUAUAGUAAAUAGUCUAAUCUUUUAGCCUGUACAUGUAUUAGUUUUUGUACCGAGGAAGCAUCUAUUGUUAGUUAAUGUUCCAUGGAAUAAUAUCGUUUUUAUGUAUUUUAUUAAUCGGCUUUUUAGUAAAAUGAGGUUUCUGCUUUCAGUUUUUAGUUUUUACUAAGCCUCUAUUACAACACAAACUAAGCAUUCAAAUUGUUAUACAGUAGAUUGAAUAGAGGCAAAGAAUGGCUUUUAUGCUUACUCGUUUGUCAAGUUGCAAACUAAUGUCUCCAAUAAUUCUUUCAUACAUUUUAGCUUUAUAAUAUGUAAUUAUGUUGCAUGACGUAUAAGCAACCGUGGCUAUGAUAAAAUAUAUUGUGUUGUAAUGUAAUUUAUGGUACUAUAGUGUGAUUCCAUAGACUAGAAAAGUGUUCAACACGUGUUCUUUAAGGUAGUUCUGCCCGUUUGGAUCGAAAAAAAAAUCUACAAUGUAAAAAAGUAUUUAACCCUGAGGUUUCAAAACUUCAGAACAUGCUUAAAAAUUCAGCAAAUAGAAAUGAUAGGGUCGUGUGCUUGAUAUUUUGCUAGACGGAUUUGGGAAAAGAAAUGGACCUGACGCAUUUUUCAUAAUUGGAGUCCAUGGGAAAAUCACAGGUUUCAUAAUAUUUUCGUAGAUUUUAAUGACACUUCACACGGUAAUAAAUAAACAUAUGGUCUGUAAUAUAUAGAAGUAAAAUGUUUAGGUCCGUGUGAUUAUUUGUGAGAUAUUUGACCAUACUUAAAGUGAACCGCACAUUUCAAGAUAAAUUAAGACAUUAUUUUGAACUAUUUAACUAUUUUCUCAGAUGUUUUAAUAUCAUAUUUUUAACUUUCGAAAGAUAGUAACAGUGCCAUUGAAGUAAAUUUACUCACGAGUUGCCAUUAAUUCAUAACAUGAGUUUCAUUUCCGUACGCUGAAUACAGGCUUUAUUCUACGUUUUCCGGAAAAUGACGUUACGCCAUCACUUCGGGUUUAUCAAACGUGCAGAACUACCUUUAAACAAACUUUACUCAUUAUUAAGUCAUUAUUAAGGUUUCCUACUAAAAUCGUUAAAAAACAUUUCAUGUUUUGCUAGAAUUCAGAUAAUAAAAAGACGUAAAACUAGCAACUGAAUCGUAUUUCUCUCGUCGGACAUUACACCUUUUACUGACUGAUUUUUACAAACUUCUAUUAACAAUAAUUAGUUUUAUUUAGCGGUCAUAUGAUAUUAAUAUAGCAUUUUUACUAUUUUUUUUUCUCGAUUUCCGUAUAAUAAUAUUGUAUACAGUGAAACUAUGUUUGACCGUGGAAAAUAUGUUUUGUUCUCAUCACGUCGAUGAUUAAGAAUAUCAUAAACUUAAGGAUCGUCUGCUGCAUAAAGCUCCCCGAUAAGUGUAUGUAUGUUCGUUUUAAUGUAUUGCUAAAUUUGCAAUUAUAUUAAUUAACAGCCAACUACAGGAAAAUAAUCCAUCUAAUAGUAUUUAACGCUUAUAGAAAAUAGGAUUUUGUACAUACUGAUAAAUUCAGCUGCUUUACAAGAUAAUGUUUGUUGAAAGUGAUUUGUUCUUAUAGCCUAAUUGAUGCUGUGUAUUUUUAUGAUUAUGCAUUUUUGUAUAUAAAUUUAUAUAAUAUAUUGUAACAGGUAUAUUUAUAUGCGGAACUGACAGCAAAUCUAAAACUGCUUUUUCCUCAUCUCUUUUAUCGUUUUAGUGGAUGCUUAUUUAUUUCUUGUGAAUGAUCGCUGUCUGUAUUAAUAAAUCAUUAUUG